AACCGCAAAACAAGCAGAGGGGGCUUAGUGGUGGGGUGACUGCGUACCUUUUGUAUAAUGGGUCAGCGACUUAUAUUCUGUAGCAAGGUUAACCGAAUAGGGGAGCCGGAGGGAAACCGAGUCUUAAUUGGGCGUUAAGUUGCAGGGUAUAGACCCGAAACCCGGUGAUCUAGCCAUGGGCAGGUUGAAGGUUGGGUAACACUAACUGGAGGACCGAACCGACUAAUGUUGAAAAAUUAGCGGAUGACCUGUGGCUGGGGGUGAAAGGCCAAUCAAACCGGGAGAUAGCUGGUUCUCCCCGAAAGCUAUUUAGGUAGCGCCUCGUGAAUUCAUCUCCGGGGGUAGAGCACUGUUUCGGCUAGGGGGCCAUCCCGGCUUACCAACCCGAUGCAAACUGCGAAUACCGGAGAAUGUUAUCACGGGAGACACACGGCGGGUGCUAACGUCCGUCGUGAAGAGGGAAACAACCCAGACCGCCAGCUAAGGUCCCAAAGUCAUGGUUAAGUGGGAAACGAUGUGGGAAGGCCCAGACAGCCAGGAUGUUGGCUUAGAAGCAGCCAUCAUUUAAAGAAAGCGUAAUAGCUCACUGGUCGAGUCGGCCUGCGCGGAAGAUGUAACGGGGCUAAACCAUGCACCGAAGCUGCGGCAGCGAACGUAUCACCCAAGACAACUUUACGGAGUUGACGAUUGACGGAGCGAAGCGACGUCAAAGCGUUCAUUAAAGUCGAGUUGGCUUAGGGAUACGUUCGUUGGGUAGGGGAGCGUUCUGUAAGCCUGUGAAGGUGUGUCGUGAGGCAUGCUGGAGGUAUCAGAAGUGCG
This 819-nucleotide ribosomal RNA is filed under the name Salmonella enterica subsp. enterica serovar Typhimurium. Its description in RNAcentral is "partial 23S ribosomal RNA". It matches the Rfam family "Bacterial large subunit ribosomal RNA", at positions 566 to 1292 of the family's 2925-position model. Lineage: Bacteria; Pseudomonadati; Pseudomonadota; Gammaproteobacteria; Enterobacterales; Enterobacteriaceae. The record is from RNAcentral.